This 497-nucleotide ribosomal RNA is filed under the name uncultured bacterium. Its description in RNAcentral is "partial 16S ribosomal RNA". It matches the Rfam family "Bacterial small subunit ribosomal RNA", at positions 28 to 507 of the family's 1533-position model. The record is from RNAcentral.
GAUGAACGCUGGCGGCGUGCCUAAUACAUGCAAGUCGAGCGAACAGACGAGGAGCUUGCUCCUCUGACGUUAGCGGCGGACGGGUGAGUAACACGUGGAUAACCUACCUAUAAGACUGGGAUAACUUCGGGAAACCGGAGCUAAUACCGGAUAAUAUAUUGAACCGCAUGGUUCAAUAGUGAAAGACGGUUUUGCUGUCACUUAUAGAUGGAUCCGCGCCGCAUUAGCUAGUUGGUAAGGUAACGGCUUACCAAGGCAACGAUGCGUAGCCGACCUGAGAGGGUGAUCGGCCACACUGGAACUGAGACACGGUCCAGACUCCUACGGGAGGCAGCAGUAGGGAAUCUUCCGCAAUGGGCGAAAGCCUGACGGAGCAACGCCGCGUGAGUGAUGAAGGUCCUCGGAUCGUAAAACUCUGUUAUUAGGGAGGAACAAAUGUGUAAGUAACUAUGCACGUCUUGACGGUACCUAAUCAGAAAGCCACGGCUAACUACGUG